Molecule: ribosomal RNA, 460 nt
Filed under: uncultured bacterium
Lineage: Bacteria
Description: partial 16S ribosomal RNA
Rfam family: Bacterial small subunit ribosomal RNA
Source: RNAcentral
CCUACGGGAGGCAGCAGUGAGGAAUAUUGGUCAAUGGGCGCGAGCCUGAACCAGCCAAGUAGCGUGAGGGAUGACGGCCCUACGGGUUGUAAACUUCUUUUAUCAGGGAAUAAAGUGCGGCACGUGUGCCGGUUUGCAUGUACUUUAUGAAUAAGGAUCGGCUAACUCCGUGCCAGCAGCCGCGGUAAUACGGAGGAUUCGAGCGUUAUCCGGAUUUAUUGGGUUUAAAGGGUGCGUAGAUGGGUACUUAAGUCAGGCGUGAAAGUGGGCGGCUCAACCGUAAAAUUGCAGUUGAAACUGGCAGACUUGAGUACAGUGGAGGUAGGCGGAAUGCGUGGUGUAGCGGUGAAAUGCAUAGAUAUCACGCAGAACUCCGAUUGCGAAGGCAGCUUGCUGGCGCGGAACUGACGCUGAGGCACGAAAGCGUGGGGAUCGAACAGGAUUAGAUACCCUUGUAGUC